UACGUAGGUGGCAAGCGUUGUCCGGAAUUAUUGGGCGUAAAGCGCGCGCAGGCGGUCCCUUAAGUCUGAUGUGAAAUCCCACGGCUCAACCGUGGAAGGUCAUUGGAAACUGGGGGACUUGAGUACAGAAGAGGAAAGCGGAAUUCCAAGUGUAGCGGUGAAAUGCGUAGAGAUUUGGAGGAACACCAGUGGCGAAGGCGGCCAGCUGGGCCGUCCCUGACGCUGAGGCGCGAAGGCGUGGGGAGCGAACGGG
Molecule: ribosomal RNA, 253 nt
Filed under: uncultured bacterium
Lineage: Bacteria
Description: partial 16S ribosomal RNA
Rfam family: Bacterial small subunit ribosomal RNA
Source: RNAcentral